CACAAGCGGUGGAUGAUGUGGUUUAAUUCGAUGCAACGCGAAAAACCUUUACCCACCUUUGACAUGUACGGAAUCCUUUAGAGAUAGAGGAGUGCUCGAAAGAGAACCGUAACACAGGUGCUGCAUUGGCUGUCGUCAGCUCGUGUCGUGAGAUGUUGGGUUAAGUCCCGCAACGAGCGCAACCCUUGUCAUUAGUUGCUACAUUCAGUUGGGCACUCUAAUGAGACUGCCGGUGACAAACCGGAGGAAGGUGGGGAUGACGUCGAGUCAGCACGGCCCUUAUGUCCAGGGCUACACACGUGUUACAAUGGCCGGUACAAAGGGCAGCUACUUCGCGAGAAGAUGCUAAUCUCGAAAGCCGGUCUCAGUUCGGAUCGAAGUCUGCAACCCGACUUCGUGAAGCUGGAUUCGCUAGUAAUCGCGCAUCAGCCAUGGCGCGGUGAAUACGUUCCCGGGCCUU
This 460-nucleotide ribosomal RNA is filed under the name uncultured Allobrachymonas sp. RNAcentral describes it as "bacterial SSU rRNA". It matches the Rfam family "Bacterial small subunit ribosomal RNA", at positions 924 to 1382 of the family's 1533-position model. The record is from RNAcentral. Lineage: Bacteria; Pseudomonadati; Pseudomonadota; Betaproteobacteria; Burkholderiales; Comamonadaceae.